GAUGAACGCUGGCGGCGUGCCUAACACAUGCAAGUCGAACGGAGUCCAGCCUUUAAGACCUUCGGGUCAAAGAGGGGAAGACUGAGUGGCGGACGGGUGAGUAACACGUGGGCAACCUGGCUCAUAGAGGGGGAUAACAGAGAGAAAUUUCUGCUAAUACCGCAUAAGCACACACUGCCGCAUGGCAGAGGGUGAAAAGAGAAUCGCUAUGAGAUGGACCCGCGUCUGAUUAGCCAGUUGGCAGGGUAAGAGCCUACCAAAGCGACGAUCAGUAGCCGAUCUGAGAGGAUGAACGGCCACAUUGGGACUGAGACACGGCCCAAACUCCUACGGGAGGCAGCAGUGGGGGAUAUUGCACAAUGGGGGGAACCCUGAUGCAGCGACGCCGCGUGAGUGAAGAAGUAUUUCGGUAUGUAAAGCUCUAUCAGCAGGGAAGAUAAUGACGGUACCUGAAUAAGAAGCCCCGGCUAACUACGUG
RNAcentral lists this ribosomal RNA (478 nucleotides) under uncultured bacterium. Its description in RNAcentral is "partial 16S ribosomal RNA". It matches the Rfam family "Bacterial small subunit ribosomal RNA", at positions 28 to 507 of the family's 1533-position model. The record is from RNAcentral.